UGGGGAAUAUUGCGCAAUGGGCGAAAGCCUGACGCAGCAACGCCGCGUGAGUGAUGAAGGCCUUCGGGUCGUAAAGCUCUGUCGGAGGGAACGAAUGCUCCUGAAGUUAACAGCCUCAGGAGGUGACGGUACCCUCAAAGGAAGCACCGGCUAACUCUGUGCCAGCAGCCGCGGUAAUACAGAGGGUGCAAGCGUUGUUCGGAAUCAUUGGGCGUAAAGGGCGCGUAGGCGGUGUGUCAAGUCAGUUGUGAAAUCUCCGAGCUUAACUCGGAACGGUCAACUGAUACUGUCACACUAGAGUACAGAAGGGGCAAUCGGAAUUCUUGGUGUAGCGGUGAAAUGCGUAGAUAUCAAGAGGAACACCUGAGGCGAAGGCGGGUUGCUGGGCUGAUACUGACGCUGAGGCGCGAAAGCUAGGGUAGCAAACGGGAUUAGAUACCCAUGUAGUCCCUGAGCGGGCUGGCAAGGCGCAU
This 473-nucleotide ribosomal RNA is filed under the name uncultured bacterium. Its description in RNAcentral is "bacterial SSU rRNA". It matches the Rfam family "Bacterial small subunit ribosomal RNA", at positions 355 to 825 of the family's 1533-position model. The record is from RNAcentral.